GGUCCCUUAGCUCAGUUGGUUAGAGCGUGGUGCUAAUAUUGAGUCACUCAUAGUGAGGAUUCGAUAUAGUAACGCCAAGGUCGCAGGUUCGACCCCUGCAGGGACCA
Molecule: non-coding RNA, 107 nt
Organism: Ascodesmis nigricans
Lineage: Eukaryota; Fungi; Ascomycota; Pezizomycetes; Pezizales; Ascodesmidaceae
Source: the annotation of a GenBank genome assembly